UACGGGGGGGGCAAGCGUUGUUCGGAAUUACUGGGCGUAAAGGGCUCGUAGGCGGCCAACUAAGUCAGACGUGAAAUCCCUCGGCUUAACCGGGGAACUGCAUCUGAUACUGGAUGGCUUGAGUUCGGGAGAGGGAUGCGGAAUUCCAGGUGUAGCGGUGAAAUGCGUAGAUAUCUGGAGGAACACCGGUGGCGAAGGCGGCGUCCUGGACCAACACUGACACUGAGGAGCGAAAGCCAGGGGAGCAAACGGG
Molecule: ribosomal RNA, 253 nt
Filed under: uncultured bacterium
Lineage: Bacteria
Description: partial 16S ribosomal RNA
Rfam family: Bacterial small subunit ribosomal RNA
Source: RNAcentral